RNAcentral lists this ribosomal RNA (450 nucleotides) under uncultured bacterium. RNAcentral describes it as "bacterial SSU rRNA". It matches the Rfam family "Bacterial small subunit ribosomal RNA", at positions 329 to 795 of the family's 1533-position model. The record is from RNAcentral.
CCCCAGACUCCUACGGGAGGCAGCAGUGGGGAAUAUUGCACAAUGGGGGAAACCCUGAUGCAGCGACGCCGCGUGAGUGAAGAAGUAUUUCGGUAUGUAAAGCUCUAUCAGCAGGGAAGAAAAAAGACGGUACCUGACUAAGAAGCCCCGGCUAACUACGUGCCAGCAGCCGCGGUAAUACGUAGGGGGCAAGCGUUAUCCGGAAUUACUGGGUGUAAAGGGUGCGUAGGUGGCAUGGUAAGUCAGAAGUGAAAGCCCGGGGCUUAACCCCGGGACUGCUUUUGAAACUGUCAUGCUGGAGUGCAGGAGAGGGAAGCGGAAUUCCUAGUGUAGCGGUGAAAUGCGUAGAUAUUAGGAGGAACACCAGUGGCGAAGGCGGCUUACUGGACUGUCACUGACACUGAUGCACGAAAGCGUGGGGAGCAAACAGGAUUAGAUACCCCAGUAAAC